Molecule: ribosomal RNA, 1372 nt
Filed under: uncultured bacterium
Lineage: Bacteria
Description: bacterial SSU rRNA
Rfam family: Bacterial small subunit ribosomal RNA
Source: RNAcentral
GAUGAACGCUGGCGGCGUGCCUAAUACAUGCAAGUCGAGCGAACGGACGAGAAGCUUGCUUCUCUGAUGUUAGCGGCGGACGGGUGAGUAACACGUGGAUAACCUACCUAUAAGACUGGGAUAACUUCGGGAAACCGGAGCUAAUACCGGAUAAUAUUUUGAACCGCAUGGUUCAAAAGUGAAAGACGGUCUUGCUGUCACUUAUAGAUGGAUCCGCGCUGCAUUAGCUAGUUGGUAAGGUAACGGCUUACCAAGGCAACGAUGCAUAGCCGACCUGAGAGGGUGAUCGGCCACACUGGAACUGAGACACGGUCCAGACUCCUACGGGAGGCAGCAGUAGGGAAUCUUCCGCAAUGGGCGAAAGCCUGACGGAGCAACGCCGCGUGAGUGAUGAAGGUCUUCGGAUCGUAAAACUCUGUUAUUAGGGAAGAACAUAUGUGUAAGUAACUGUGCACAUCUUGACGGUACCUAAUCAGAAAGCCACGGCUAACUACGUGCCAGCAGCCGCGGUAAUACGUAGGUGGCAAGCGUUAUCCGGAAUUAUUGGGCGUAAAGCGCGCGUAGGCGGUUUUUUAAGUCUGAUGUGAAAGCCCACGGCUCAACCGUGGAGGGUCAUUGGAAACUGGAAAACUUGAGUGCAGAAGAGGAAAGUGGAAUUCCAUGUGUAGCGGUGAAAUGCGCAGAGAUGUGGAGGAACACCAGUGGCGAAGGCGACUUUCUGGUCUGUAACUGACGCUGAUGUGCGAAAGCGUGGGGAUCAAACAGGAUUAGAUACCCUGGUAGUCCACGCCGUAAACGAUGAGUGCUAAGUGUUAGGGGGUUUCCGCCCCUUAGUGCUGCAGCUAACGCAUUAAGCACUCCGCCUGGGGAGUACGACCGCAAGGUUGAAACUCAAAGGAAUUGACGGGGGCCCGCACAAGCGGUGGAGCAUGUGGUUUAAUUCGAAGCAACGCGAAGAACCUUACCAAAUCUUGACAUCCUUUGACAACUCUAGAGAUAGAGCCUUCCCCUUCGGGGGACAAAGUGACAGGUGGUGCAUGGUUGUCGUCAGCUCGUGUCGUGGGAUGUUGGGUUAAGUCCCGCAACGAGCGCAACCCUUAAGCUUAGUUGCCAUCAUUAAGUUGGGCACUCUAAGUUGACUGCCGGUGACAAACCGGAGGAAGGUGGGGAUGACGUCAAAUCAUCAUGCCCCUUAUGAUUUGGGCUACACACGUGCUACAAUGGACAAUACAAAGGGCAGCGAAACCGCGAGGUCAAGCAAAUCCCAUAAAGUUGUUCUCAGUUCGGAUUGUAGUCUGCAACUCGACUACAUGAAGCUGGAAUCGCUAGUAAUCGUAGAUCAGCAUGCUACGGUGAAUACGUUCCCGGGUCU